CCCUGGGAAGCCAGGGAAGAAUGAAGGCUAUGAUUGGCCUCUCCGGGGCGGCUUGUUUGAAAGGCCGAGGGGGAAGGGGCAACUGAUCUGAAAGUAGUUGAGGGGCCUUGAUGUCUCUCCUAACUCGCUUUUCCCGGACGGCAACCUAGGAGAGAGGUUCUAACCGGUUGACUCUACUCCCUCCUGCCACUUAGGUGGGACCUCUUACAGGCAGACUCGGAUGUCCCAGGGCUUCGAGGCUGGAGUGCAUUUGGGACAAGAGAAGGACUCUGAAACCAUGAAACUAAAAAAGGAGAAACCAAGGGCUAUCAAGUUUUAUAAAUUACAAUCCAGUCCCCCAAAAAGUUACAAAGUUCUCAGGAAACUCCUGCCCGAACUUGGGUGAAAGGCACCGGAAGAUGCCUUCGGGGAAGAUGGCGGCGCUGCUACUGCACCGCCUUUGCCUGGAACACAGGCAGCUUCCAGCUAUCGAUUUUAUUGACCGGAGCGCCAUGCCGGCUCCCUAACCUCUCUGCCCUCAAGUGUAAUGGCGCUGCGAUUGGGCUUCACGACCCUUUUCUUCGCGUCCCCAUUCCAAGCGUUCAUUGGGCGUUGGCGAAGAUCGAACGUUCUGAUUGGGUGCUGGCAACGGCGCCUGUUUGAACGAAGCCAACAGAUGCGUAAGGGCAGGAAGCCGGUCCCCCAGCGCUGGCCGCGGCCCUGAGUUGUGAAGCAGGCUGCGGCGACCCAGGAUCAGUGGACGGCCCUCCGGCUGUGUUUCACCGCUCUCUGGCAGGCUCAGCCUAUCUCUGAAUUAGGGAAGGAUUUGAGCGGCAGAGCCCCUCGGGCCAAGCCGGAGCUGAGAUUAUCGUUGGUUCUUUUUGUGGUUUUCUCAGCGCAUCCUUCGUUUUGGAUGAUGGUUAACUUUAUUGUUACCCUUUUAGGGGAGGAAAUUAACGUUAUUGUUUCCUGGGGGCAGGCGGCAUGCCCAACAUAUUACACAUUUCCUCUUAUUUAUUCUUUGCUACCAUUCUGUGAACUGGUGGUUAUCCUCCGGUCCUACCGUUGAGGAAACGAUCUCAGAGGGAUUCCAUGAGUUUCCAGGGUCACAUUGCUGGUAAAGAGGAGGGACAAAGAUUUAAACCUGGGGCUGACAGGGUGUUUAUUCACACCACUGAACUGGGCAUAUUUUUUAACACUAUCCUAAUUUGCUUGCCAACCCAGGAAUUCCUCAGCUCUUGGUCUCUUCUAAGGUUCAAUCUUCUGCAUAAUCUCUAUACAUUAUUUUUACAUGACAUUUGUGCAAUGCACAAAACAUAGUGCUAGGCAGUUAGGAGAUGCAGGGUUACAGAAAUAAGUCAUGGGCUGUUCUUUGAAUGGAGUUUACAGUCUAGUGAGGCAUAUAAAUUCACAACUACUGGUAAUAGUGUUAGAGCCGGUUUCCCUCGGCCCCGGGAACAGAAGGACAGAGUCACUGAGGCUGCAAAAGGCAAAGGAGUUUUAUUUACU
This is a long non-coding RNA of Lemur catta (Ring-tailed lemur), 1488 nucleotides long. RefSeq lists it as uncharacterized. The record is from RefSeq and is a predicted model, not a curated record. NCBI's taxonomy places the organism in Eukaryota, Metazoa, Chordata, Mammalia, Primates, Lemuridae. The transcript is spliced from 3 exons.